AUUGAACGCUGGCGGCAGGCCUAACACAUGUAAGUCGAGCGGAUGAAGGGAGCUUGCUCCUGGAUUCAGCGGCGGACGGGUGAGUAAUGCCUAGGAAUCUGCCUGGUAGUGGGGGAUAACGUCCGGAAACGGGCGCUAAUACCGCAUACGUCCUGAGGGAGAAAGUGGGGGAUCUUCGGACCUCACGCUAUCAGAUGAGCCUAGGUCGGAUUAGCUAGUUGGUGGGGUAAAGGCCUACCAAGGCGACGAUCCGUAACUGGUCUGAGAGGAUGAUCAGUCACACUGGAACUGAGACACGGUCCAGACUCCUACGGGAGGCAGCAGUGGGGAAUAUUGGACAAUGGGCGAAAGCCUGAUACAGCCAUGCCGCGUGUGUGAAGAAGGUCUUCGGAUUGUAAAGCACUUUAAGUUGGGAGGAAGGGCAGUAAGUUAAUACCUUGCUGUUUUGACGUUACCAACAGAAUAAGCACCGGCUAACUUCGUG
Molecule: ribosomal RNA, 484 nt
Filed under: uncultured bacterium
Lineage: Bacteria
Description: partial 16S ribosomal RNA
Rfam family: Bacterial small subunit ribosomal RNA
Source: RNAcentral